UACAGAGGAGCCAAGCGUUGUCCGGAUUGACUGGGCGUAAAGCGCACGCAGGCGGCCGCGCGCGUGGGGUGUGAAAUCUGGCCGCUUAACGGCCAGGCGCCAUCCCAUACGGCGCGGCUGGAGCCAUGCAGAGGGCGGUGGAAUUGCCGGUGUAGUGGUGAAAUGCGUAGAGAUCGGCAGGAACACCCAGGGGGAAACCAGCCGCCUGGGCAUGCGCUGACGCUGAGGUGCGGGAGCGUGGGGAGCGAACCGG
This 253-nucleotide ribosomal RNA is filed under the name uncultured bacterium. RNAcentral describes it as "partial 16S ribosomal RNA". It matches the Rfam family "Bacterial small subunit ribosomal RNA", at positions 524 to 776 of the family's 1533-position model. The record is from RNAcentral.